UCCUACGGGAGGCAGCAGUCGAGGAUCAUUCGCAAUGCGCGAAAGCGUGACGAUGCGACGCUGCGUGGAGGAUGACGGCCCUAGGGUUGUAAACUCCUGUCAUUCGGGAAAAAUUGCUCAAGGUUAAUACCCUUGGGAAGCGAUGGUACCGGAAGAGGAAGCCACGGCUAACUCUGUGCCAGCAGCCGCGGUAAUAC
Molecule: ribosomal RNA, 197 nt
Filed under: uncultured bacterium
Lineage: Bacteria
Description: partial 16S ribosomal RNA
Rfam family: Bacterial small subunit ribosomal RNA
Source: RNAcentral